RNAcentral lists this ribosomal RNA (81 nucleotides) under Gemmatimonadetes bacterium 13_1_40CM_2_70_7. The record is from RNAcentral. Lineage: Bacteria; Pseudomonadati; Gemmatimonadota.
AUCCCGAACACGGUCGUUAAGCCUGUCAGCGCCGAUGGUACUGCGACUGCGAGGUCGUGGGAGAGUAGGCCGCCGCCAGCG